UACGGGGGGGAGCAAGCGUUGUUCGGAUUUACUGGGCGUAAAGGGCGCGUAGGCGGUCGUGACAAGUCACUUGUGAAAUCUCCGGGCUUAACUCGGAACGGUCAAGUGAUACUGUCGGACUAGAGUACAGAAGGGGCAACUGGAAUUCUCGGUGUAGCGGUGAAAUGCGUAGAGAUGUGGAGGAACACCGAUGGCGAAGGCAGCCCCCCUGGGUCAAGAUUGACGCUCAUGCACGAAAGCGUGGGGAGCAAACAGG
Molecule: ribosomal RNA, 256 nt
Filed under: uncultured bacterium
Lineage: Bacteria
Description: partial 16S ribosomal RNA
Rfam family: Bacterial small subunit ribosomal RNA
Source: RNAcentral